GCUAGUUCGAUAUACACUCAGUAUAAAUCCAAAUAACCAUUCUUGGUUAAUUAUCCAGGCAGAUAUUUACUUUGCAACGAAUCAGUAUUCAGCAGCUCUUCACUAUUACCUCCAGGCAGGAGCUGUGUGUUCUGACUUCUUUAACAAGGCUGUGCCCCCUGAUGUUUAUACAGACCAGGUAAUAAAACGAAUGAUAAAAUGUUGUUCUUUGCUGAAUUGCCACACACAGGUGGCCAUUUUAUGUCAGUUCCUCAGAGAAAUUGACUACAAAACAGCGUUUAAAUCUCUGCAAGAACAAAACAGGUAUGAAUAAUAUUUUAAAAAUAAUGAGGUCAACAUUUUUCUGCUUAAGAAGUAACUGAAUUCUGUCUUUCAGUCAUGAUGCUAUGGACUCCUACUACGACUACAUAUGGGAUGUUACCAUUUUGGAAUACUUGACUUAUCUUCAUCAUAAAAGAGGAGAAACAGAUAAAAGACAAAUUGCAAUCAAAGCCAUCGGCCAGACAGAGUUGAAUGCAAGCAAUCCAGAAGAAGUGUUACAGCUGGCAGCGCAGAGAAGGAAAAAAAAGUUUCUCCAAGCAAUGGCAAAACUUUACUUUUAAGCAGUUAAAUUUUUUUAACUUUUAUUUUUUAAACAAUGGGCUAAAAAUAAACAGUAUUAAAAGGUUAAG
This 671-nucleotide long non-coding RNA is filed under the name Homo sapiens (human). Its description in RNAcentral is "HSALNT0140582". Lineage: Eukaryota; Metazoa; Chordata; Mammalia; Primates; Hominidae. The record is from RNAcentral.